This 301-nucleotide ribosomal RNA is filed under the name uncultured bacterium. RNAcentral's name for it is "partial 16S ribosomal RNA". It matches the Rfam family "Bacterial small subunit ribosomal RNA", at positions 509 to 809 of the family's 1533-position model. The record is from RNAcentral.
CAGUCGCCGCGGGAAUACGUAGGGUGCGAGCGUUAAUCGGAAUUACUGAGCGUAAAGCGUGCGCAGGCGGUUGUGUAAGACAGGUGUGAAAUCCCCGAGCUUAACCUGGGAACUGCGCUUGUGACUGCACAGCUAGAGUAUGGCAGAGGGGGGUGGAAUUCCACGUGUAGCAGUGAAAUGCGUAGAGAUGUGGAGGAACACCGAUGGCGAAGGCAGCCCCCUGGGCCAAUACUGACGCUCAUGCACGAAAGCGUGGGGAGCAAACAGGAUUAGAUACCCCGGUAGUCCCUGUCUCUUAUAA